Molecule: transfer RNA, 23 nt
Filed under: Moraea galaxia
Lineage: Eukaryota; Viridiplantae; Streptophyta; Magnoliopsida; Asparagales; Iridaceae
Description: partial tRNA-Phe
Source: RNAcentral
UAAAAAGUCGGGAUAGCUCAGUU